CCGGGUCUGUGAACAGUUGGUCUGUCUGAUGCUGACGCCAGCACGGCUCCGUGGAGGGAGCACUAGGAGCUCAGUGCCAGAGCCGCCAACGCCGGAGGCCAGGAGGAAACCAGCUUCACCCAUUUGUCUUCAUGAUUGGCCUUUAUUUCCGGCACAAUCCAUCCAGCAAAAGUCCCAACUAUUAGUUUAUUUCUGGUGUAAAUAGGGUAAUUCAUGAAUUUGCUGCUUUUCUUCCAAUGGUUGCCAGCUGGCAUGGGUUUUUGCUCUGGUUUAUUCACAGCCAGUGGCCAUUCCACUCCACUUUUCUAUCCCCUGGGAGAGGGUGCUGGUGGAGUAAACUGCCCCUCUUCACACCCCACCCCGCCCAUCUCAUCUGAGAUCGGGAAGGCGGGACUUUGACAGCAGGUGACUGUGGCCUCUGGGCCCUGCAGGGCUUCCAGAGGUGCAGCUGUUGCACAGCUGCAGGAAGGGUCCCCUGAGGGAGCAUCUCCAGGGGAGACAGGGGUCAGCCUCCAGGAUGGAUGCCGGGGAGUGCCUGCCAAGAGAAGAGAGGAGUGUCCCAGAGCAACGGACAUCAAAGUUGGCAUCCGCUGGGCGGGGCAGGGCCUGCAGAUUGGCUCAACCUGGAUGCAGGCUGCACUCAGGGCAGGAAAUAAGGGGCAGCCCUGAUCCACGCGCAAUGACCAUGUGGCUGGGAGGCAGGGGACAGGCUGGAGGAGAUGUGGCUGGGAUCCACGCUCACGAUGGACCUGCCGGGUCUCCCACAUCCCAGCAGGUGAGCAACUUCUGUAUGACCGCUUCAUCCUAUCUUUGAAUAAAAUGAUCUGACAUUCCUCCCUAGGGAAGCUGCUGGACAUCCUGCUGCCCCUGAUCGGACAGGCGCCCUGCUGCCUGCUGCCACGGGCUGGCUGGGACUGCCACGUGCUUUGAGCACAUCCUGAUCUACCAGGGUUCCCUCAGACUCCAGUAGAAAGGGAACGGUUGGGAUGAGUCUCCUCUGAGGUGCUCACUGUAGGUGUACAGCUUGUCCUGCUUUCCAGAAACUGGUGGUUGGGCCGACUGACUGUCUUGGGGGCAGGGUCUUCAUGAGCCCCCUGGGGCAGAGUGUGGCUCACAGCCAGCUGCCAUCCUGAGGCCCAUAGACCUGCAACGCUGCACCAGGUCCAUAAGGAGGAGGGCGGUCCCAGCUCCUGGGACCACAGCAGACCCCCACCCCCGCUCCCCACUCUCGUGCUCUCCUCCCUUCUCACGCUUCUCUCUGGCCUCCUCUUUCAGCCCCUCUCUCUUCCAUCCUCCACCCCACCUCUCUCACAUCCUGCACACCCUUUCCUCUGCUUUCUCUGCAGCCGCUCACAGGCUGUGGUGUUAGAGGUACAAGAAGCCCCUAAGCACCAUGUAUUGACUUUCCCACGCUCUCUCCUCCGGAACUUGGACCAGCCCCUCUGCUGGGCACGGCCCUGAGGGCACCGUCCCCCUGCGGUUUGUGUCAUUCGAUGGGGGUGCCUUUCAGGUGUAAAGAGUGCUCUCGGGAGUCACCUCAGUUUCAACGUGGGACUCAAAAGCCUUCAAAGCAAAGAGCCUUUUAGAGGAAGAUGCUGGUCCCUGGAGGAGACCAUGUCCUGGACUGGACUCUGAAGCUGACACGGGAGGAAAACGGGCAGGGAACAACCUUUGGAAGAAUGACACAGCCACAGGACAUGACGGAAAUGGACAGAACCAAUGAGGCCCAAGAUGCUGGAUGAGAAUUCCACUAGACCUUGAGCCUCAGAGUAAGUUCAUCUUAAUAUAUCAGCAAGGGGCGCCAUGACAGUUCC
This is a long non-coding RNA of Bos indicus x Bos taurus (hybrid cattle), 1814 nucleotides long. Lineage: Eukaryota; Metazoa; Chordata; Mammalia; Artiodactyla; Bovidae. The record is from Ensembl.